Molecule: long non-coding RNA, 327 nt
Filed under: Cavia porcellus (domestic guinea pig)
Lineage: Eukaryota; Metazoa; Chordata; Mammalia; Rodentia; Caviidae
Description: lncRNA (ENSCPOG00000038594.1)
Source: RNAcentral
UGCCAUACAGGUUCCGGAGCUCCAGAUCCAUUGCAGGAGGGACCGUGGCGCUUGAGGGAGACGGGCGAUGACUGGGAGGGCGACUCCGGGCGGAGAGGCGCAACCCUAAGGACUGUCGCUCCGGGAUCGCCUAGCGGCGGGGACCACCGCACGCCGGCUUGGACACCUCGGCGCUUCGGCGGGCGUGGAGCAGCGGCGUGGGACGCCACCUGGAGCGCAGCUGCCCAGGUAUGAACAGUAAUGGCCUUUAUUUCACUUCCGAGUUCCUUGGUAAACUGUGGACUGAAUGAACUGUAUCCAUCUCCGUCAUGAUGUACAACACCAAGU